Brassica napus (rape) is the source of this 3754-nucleotide long non-coding RNA. RefSeq lists it as uncharacterized. The transcript is spliced from 6 exons. The record is from RefSeq and is a predicted model, not a curated record. NCBI's taxonomy places the organism in Eukaryota, Viridiplantae, Streptophyta, Magnoliopsida, Brassicales, Brassicaceae.
UCUCAAUUUCACUCCUAAUUAUGAGUUUUGCUUCUCUUCAAAUGGGCCAUGUUCGUAUGCAUGUCAUUGUGACUGGUCACAAGUCUUUCUUUCUUUCAUAUCACUAAAUUUAGAAUUUAUUUGACCUGCCACUUGCCAACAACAUUUAAUCGCAGGUUGCAAACGAAUAAGACUAUGAUCAGAAUGGAUCUUGGUUAUAAUUAGUCCUCGCUUUGUAAUAGCUGAUAGAACAAACCUUUAUUGAUCAGCUGCAGGUAUUCUACUGGUGCUGGUGUAAUGGCGGUACCAUAAAAACUUUCAUCUCUUCAAACCUUUCACUUGGACAACUGAUAAGAGACAAAGUGAUGAUGAAUUGGAAGUCAACAAGAAUGAAACUAAGUCCUCAAGUCUAUCGUCAGAAUCCUAUCUCUAUUUCCUCUUUUUAUUUCAAUUAUUUAAUUAGACAAUUCAUAGACUAGUCUGCUCCUAGAUUAUAGGAUCCAAGCAAAACAUGUUCUCUUCCAUUAUCUUUAUGCUUCCUGUUUUGUUGGGAACUUACGUUCCAUUUGAUUCUAUAUAAGAAAAGCCAAAAAGAAAAAAAAAAGGCAGACUGGAUUUGCCAAAAGAAACUAGCUUGUGUUGUGUUUAUUAGUUUGUUCUUCACAAACUCUCUUAGCUUUGAGGAGGGGCUUUAAUUGACAUCAAAGUAAACUUGUGUUCUAAGGUAUCAAAGGAGUGAUUGGGUUCACUCCUAACAACAACUCGCUGCACAGUUUCAAGAGUUUCAUGUUGAUCUCCGUAUGGUUGAGGCUGAGAGAGUUGGAUGACCAGUUGCUUCUGAUGUACCUACCAACUAUCAAGCAUAACAAGGACACAGUUGAGUCUAGCUGAGAAGCUAAACAUAGCUGCUCAAAUGCUGUAAUAAGCUUUUAAACACACAAAACGGUUUGCUGAAAACGUGGAAUGUUGCGUUUGGUUUGAAUGUUUAGACAUUCAGUCACUCGUUGUAGCUUUCACAAAUUGCAAUUUAGAAAGAGAUAACAUACUCAUAUUCAUGAGUACAAAAGAAGUUCUUAAAGAGUUUUAGUUUGUGUCAAUUUUUAAACAAGAUACAUAAUACUGUAAGUACUAAUGGUUUAGCAAGUCUCUCAUAACAUAACCUCAUUGUCAUCAUGUGACUCGAGAAGUAUUUCAUCAUCGGACUCGAUUAAGAUCCUAACAAAAACGUUUUUUGACAAGAAUUUUUAGAAGGAAACACUAAUCAUAUAUACUAAGACAACAUACAGUUAUGAAUUUGACUUUUUUUUUUUUUUUUUUUUGAAUUUGACCUCUUUGUGAUAAAGAAAUACUUAUAUGCGGCAACUAUAUAUGUUUACGCGAUGCUUAAACGCCAUAUACAUGGAGAUUUGUAUUCACCGUAUUAGAUUCGUCAUAUAUCAAAGAAAUAAUGUAGUCUCUCAACAUAUGUAAGAAAAAUAUGUUGUUUAUACAGCCGUAUAUAACAAAUUUAUAUGUGUAGGCCGGUGUGUCAAUAUUGAAAGGCAUGCAUGCACUUGUAAUGUAAGUGAGCAACUUGCAUACAUUGUUUACAUUAGUCUAACUUAUAAUUCCAUUUCCGACUUGCCCCACCAAUCAGUCUUUAGCUAUCGGUCUCUAUAGCCUUACAUAGAGGUAGCACCAUUUUAACCAAUAUAUAUUAAUAUUCAAUUUUUUUUAUAUAAUAGUCGUGGCCUGCUGCUAAGCUACUACAAUAGUAGGUCACAUCGAUCGCUCAUAUAAGAUAUUUAGUUUUUUUUUUUGCUUUAUAAGAUUUUUGAUAAAACCUUAUUUACGAUAGUUUGUAAUCAAUCUCAUGGUUUUAUCUAUUGGGACUCUUUUUCGAUACAAGGUAACACGUUCAUGGUUAGCUACAACUAUAUUUACGGCUUGACGUUUAGAGUAUCCAAAACAAUCCAUCUCGGUUCGAUUUUUCAACACGAUCAGACUCAUAUUUAUAACCAAAACAAUUCUUAAAUUGUACUUACUUUAAAUAUAUCUUAUAUAAUAAAGAAGACUUUAGUCUCUCCUUAUGAAGCUACAUCAUCAAUGAAGGAAGGACAUUUUCUGCCACGUGGCGACUUCUUAAAAAAAAAUUCGGCAAGUUCUGUUUUCUAUCCGUGUGUUUAUGGGCCCAUUUUCUGUUUUCUUUUAUAUUCCUACGGGCCUUGCGAAUAUUUGAACAAGACCCAUUAAGUUUUAGGGUUUCCUCAUGAGUCUUCCACCUUUCGCUGCAGCAGCGGCGCGCCUCUUUGGAUCUCCGUCAACGACACUGUAACGGCUGACGUUUGCAUAUUCAUCUGUCGUAUUAAAUUAAGCAUUUACGUCCGCCCCACUCCUAUCACUUUCUUAGGCAUUAAAUGUCAUCCUCACAGUCAAAGAUAAGCUUUACUCUGCCAACGGCGAGCUUUAUCAAUGGCGAAUUCGUACAUUCUUCUUGCUGACUUGAAAGCUGAACUUCGUUACUGUGGAUGUCAGGCCACUGAGGUUCUAGGAGGCAAGAAACUCAAUAAAGGCUCUAUGUGACUAAAAAAGUGAUAGCUCUGUUUUCAACGAUCGGUCAAUGCAAACCGCCUCAAAACUUACCAACACCUUCUCAGUUAAGGCUCUGUUUUCUCCAUUUCUGGUUUUGACGUGGCACGGAGCAACAACAAUUUCCGAUUGUCUGACGCCCUUGACGCCCUGCCAAUCGUCCAAUGAAGAAACCACAAGGAGAAACAGCCUCUCUGAGGGCUGAAAGAUUGCCUAUCUAAGUAUCUAUGAACUAUAGUUAUCUCUUCUACAUUUAUUUAUUUUUGAGAAUCUUUUUGCGUAUGGGUUUGACUGCUUAAGCUGAACAACUUUUAUUAGUUUCAGCCUGGAACAUGUUCCCCUUUUAGAGCUAACUUCAUUCAUGAGAAGUUAAAAACUAAACAAGAUCUAAAUUGUCUGCUAGAUGAUGAAUGGACAAUUAGUCACAGGGCGUGUUCAUCUUUGGUGACAAGGUGUACAACAAUCUUUCUCCAGUAUUUCUGUCUAUGAUCUAUGUUUAUUUCUUCUAUCAAUUUUUUUUUUCAGUUUUGGCAAUCAUUGUUUGUAGGGUCUGAUUAGAGAACUCAGCUUCAGCUUGGUAACUCAGGAAAUUAAAGUUGUGUGUUGUCAUUAUACUACAUCUUUGGAAUUAUGUUCAUUGGCGUAAUUUUCUCUUACUCGUACCUCUUCCUAGCUUUUUGCAAGUUGUGACUCUAUUCUUCAUUCCAGAAUGAAUGUACGGCUUCAUUGCAGGCUCUCCGUGUAGAUAAUGUUGAAGUCUCUGAAUAAGCCAACAACAUCAAAGUAUGACCUACUACCCAGUGUUGUACCCGAAGAUCUUUAUUAGUCUUCACAAGCCAUUUUAGAUGACUUCUCUCGAAUGCCCCACCACUUGAGAAACGUCAAGUGAUCCUCAUGUUCAUGUUUAUUAGUCUCCAUUUUAUUUUUAAUGACCUUAAGGUGGAUAUUUUGUAGCUAUGAAAACGUUCAUGUUCUUUUGGUUUGGUAACGGAUUCGUCUAAAACCGAUACCAACUGAGCAGAUUCGCUUCUGUAACCACGACCAGCUUAUGGCAUUGGCAAAUAUCACAACAGCUACCUGACAUCCAAGGUGAGCUCAGUGCAACCAUAUUUCCCUACGUCCUGCCAGUACGUAUAAAUAUUGUGCAAAAUGUUGUUAAAGACAAUCUUCUUAUUUUAAUAAAAUUUAGAUAUGGGUGCUUGCUUAA